GACGAACGCUGGCGGCGUGCUUAACACAUGCAAGUCGAACGGUGACCUCCGCUUGCGGGGGGAUCAGUGGCGAACGGGUGAGUAACACGUGGGCAACCUGCCCUCAGCUCUGGGAUAACUCCAAGAAAUUGGGGCUAAUACCGGAUAUGACCGCUGACCGCAUGGUCUGGUGGUGGAAAGAUUUAUCGGCUGGGGAUGGGCCCGCGGCCUAUCAGCUUGUUGGUGGGGUAGUGGCCUACCAAGGCGACGACGGGUAGCCGGCCUGAGAGGGUGACCGGCCACACUGGGACUGAGACACGGCCCAGACUCCUACGGGAGGCAGCAGUGGGGAAUAUUGCGCAAUGGGCGAAAGCCUGACGCAGCGACGCCGCGUGGGGGAUGACGGCCUUCGGGUUGUAAACCUCUUUCAGCAGGGACGAAGCGAAAGUGACGGUACCUGCAGAAGAAGCACCGGCCAACUACGUG
Molecule: ribosomal RNA, 465 nt
Filed under: uncultured bacterium
Lineage: Bacteria
Description: partial 16S ribosomal RNA
Rfam family: Bacterial small subunit ribosomal RNA
Source: RNAcentral